AAAUUGAAGAGUUUGAUCAUGGCUCAGAUUGAACGCUGGCGGCAGGCCUAACACAUGCAAGUCGAGCGGUAGCACAGAGAGCUUGCUCUCGGGUGACGAGCGGCGGACGGGUGAGUAAUGUCUGGGAAACUGCCUGAUGGAGGGGGAUAACUACUGGAAACGGUAGCUAAUACCGCAUAACGUCGCAAGACCAAAGUGGGGGACCUUCGGGCCUCAUGCCAUCAGAUGUGCCCAGAUGGGAUUAGCUAGUAGGUGGGGUAACGGCUCACCUAGGCGACGAUCCCUAGCUGGUCUGAGAGGAUGACCAGCCACACUGGAACUGAGACACGGUCCAGACUCCUACGGGAGGCAGCAGUGGGGAAUAUUGCACAAUGGGCGCAAGCCUGAUGCAGCCAUGCCGCGUGUGUGAAGAAGGCCUUCGGGUUGUAAAGCACUUUCAGCGGGGAGGAAGGCGAUAAGGUUAAUAACCUUGUCGAUUGACGUUACCCGCAGAAGAAGCACCGGCUAACUCCGUGCCAGCAGCCGCGGUAAUACGGAGGGUGCAAGCGUUAAUCGGAAUUACUGGGCGUAAAGCGCACGCAGGCGGUCUGUCAAGUCGGAUGUGAAAUCCCCGGGCUUAACCUGGGAACUGCAUUCGAAACUGGCAGGCUAGAGUCUUGUAGAGGGGGGUAGAAUUCCAGGUGUAGCGGUGAAAU
RNAcentral lists this ribosomal RNA (695 nucleotides) under Klebsiella pneumoniae. Its description in RNAcentral is "bacterial SSU rRNA". It matches the Rfam family "Bacterial small subunit ribosomal RNA", at positions 1 to 687 of the family's 1533-position model. Lineage: Bacteria; Pseudomonadati; Pseudomonadota; Gammaproteobacteria; Enterobacterales; Enterobacteriaceae. The record is from RNAcentral.